Molecule: ribosomal RNA, 280 nt
Filed under: Faecalibacterium duncaniae
Lineage: Bacteria; Bacillati; Bacillota; Clostridia; Eubacteriales; Oscillospiraceae
Description: partial 23S ribosomal RNA
Rfam family: Bacterial large subunit ribosomal RNA
Source: RNAcentral
UUGAAUGGUCAAGCGAACAAGGGCGCAGGGCGAAUGCCUUGGCACUGGGAGCCGAUGAAAGACGUGAUAAGCUGCGAUAAGCUUCGGGGAGCUGCAAAUAAGCAUUGAUCCGGAGAUUUCUGAAUGAGGAAACUCACCUGGGUUCAUACUCAGGUACAAUACACUGAAAUUUAAAAUAGGUGUAUUGAGGGAACCGCCUGAACUGAAACAUCUAAGUAGGGCGAGGAAGAGACAUCAAACGAGAUUCCGUAAGUAGUGGCGAGCGAACGCGGAAGAGGGC